RNAcentral lists this ribosomal RNA (468 nucleotides) under uncultured bacterium. Its description in RNAcentral is "partial 16S ribosomal RNA". It matches the Rfam family "Bacterial small subunit ribosomal RNA", at positions 28 to 507 of the family's 1533-position model. The record is from RNAcentral.
GACGAACGCUGGCGGCGUGCUUAACACAUGCAAGUCGAACGGAAAGGCCCUGCUUUUGUGGGGUGCUCGAGUGGCGAACGGGUGUGUAACACGUGUGUAACCUGCCCUUGUCUUUGGGAUAACUUCAGGAAACUGGGGCUAAUACCGGAUAGGAGCUCCUGCUGCAUGGUGGGGGUUGGAAAGUUUCGGCGGUUGGGGAUUGACUCGCGGCUUAUCAGCUUGUUGGUGGGGUAGUGGCUUACCAAGGCUUUGACGGGUAGCCGGCCUGGGAGGGUGGACGGCCACAUUGGGACUGAGAUACGGCCCAGACUCCUACGGGAGGCAGCAGUGGGGAAUAUUGCACAAUGGGCGGAAGCCUGAUGCAGCGACGCCGCGUGCGGGAUGACGGCCUUCGGGUUGUAAACCGCUUUCGCCUGGGACGAAGCGUGAGUGACGGUAACGGGUAAAGAAGCACCGGCUAACUACGUG